RNAcentral lists this ribosomal RNA (261 nucleotides) under uncultured bacterium. RNAcentral describes it as "partial 16S ribosomal RNA". It matches the Rfam family "Bacterial small subunit ribosomal RNA", at positions 524 to 783 of the family's 1533-position model. The record is from RNAcentral.
UACGUAGGGUGCGAGCGUUGUCCGGAAUUAUUGGGCGUAAAGGGCUCGUAGGCGGUUUGUCGCGUCGGGAGUGAAAACUCAGGGCUUAACCCUGAGCCUGCUUCCGAUACGGGCAGACUAGAGGUAUGCAGGGGAGAACGGAAUUCCUGGUGUAGCGGUGAAAUGCGCAGAUAUCAGGAGGAACACCGAUGGCGAAGGCAGGUCGUCUGGGCCACUACUGACGCUGAGAAGCGAAAGCAUGGGGAGCGAACAGGAUUAGAU